Molecule: ribosomal RNA, 253 nt
Filed under: uncultured bacterium
Lineage: Bacteria
Description: partial 16S ribosomal RNA
Rfam family: Bacterial small subunit ribosomal RNA
Source: RNAcentral
UACGUAGGGUGCGAGCGUUAAUCGGAAUUACUGGGCGUAAAGUGUGCGCAGGCGGUUUCGCAAGUCAAGUGUGGAAGCCCCGGGCUUAACCUGGGAACUGCGCUUGAAACUACGGAACUCGAGUAUGGCAGAGGAAGGUGGAAUUCCACGUGUAGCGGUGAAAUGCGUAGAGAUGUGGAGGAACACCGAUGGCGAAGGCAGCCUUCUGGGCCAAUACUGACGCUCAUGCACGAAAGCGUGGGGAGCAAACAGG